GCUACGUAAAAUUACUUACAUCAAAAAACGCCCGGGAAAUACGAGCGCAAGCUUAAAACCCAAAGGAUUUGACGGUGUCCCACCCACCUAGAGGAGCCUGUUCUAUAAUCGACAAUCCACGAUUUACCUCACCAUUUUUUGCUCUCUCCAGCCUGUAUACCUCCGUCGACAACUUAUCAUUUGAAUGUCAAAAAAUAAGUUUAAUGGUCUCACACACCAACACGUCAGGUCAAGGUGCAGCCUACAAAAUGGAAAGCAAUGGGCUACAAUUUCUAAUAUAGAACAAACGAAAAACUACAUGAAACACAGUCAUGAAGGCGGAUUUAGAAGUAAAAGAAGAACAGAAAACUUCUUUUAACCUGGCUCUGGGACGUGUACAAACCGCCCGUCACCCUCUUCAACAGCCACCACCAAUUUACUAAUGCUUAACAGCACUAUAGAAGAGGCAAGUCGUAACAUGGUAAGUGUACUGGAAAGUGCACUUGGCUAAACAAAGUGUAACUUAACUAAAGCCUCUCGCUUACACCGAGAAAAUAUCUAUUAAACUUAGAUCACUUUGAGCCUUAAAUCUAGCCUACAAUAUAUGUAUACAAACCUUAACCUAUCAUAAUAUAAUAAAACAUUUUACCAGUUAAGUAGAGGAGAUCAAAAACAUGAUAGCGC
Molecule: unclassified non-coding RNA, 663 nt
Filed under: Gephyromantis cornutus
Lineage: Eukaryota; Metazoa; Chordata; Amphibia; Anura; Mantellidae
Description: partial contains 12S ribosomal RNA and tRNA-Val
Rfam family: Bacterial small subunit ribosomal RNA (bases 1-498)
Source: RNAcentral